CGCAUCUGUGCAUGCCGCAUAUCAAUAAGCGGAGGAAAAGGAGUAUACCUACGCUUAGGAUGUUGACACACGCGCGUGCUCGACUCUACACAUGACUCUGCAGCAUAUCAAUAAGCGGAGGAAAAGGCUGCGGAACUGAACGACCGCUACCUACGCUUAGGAUGUUGACACACGCGCGUGCUCGACUCUAUACAUGACUCUGCGCAUAUCAAUAAGCGGAGGAAAAGAAACUAACAAGGAUUCCCUUAGUAACGGCGAGUGAAGCGGGAAGAGCUCAAAUUUGAAAUCUUCAAGGUUUUACCUUGACGAAUUGUAGUUUAAAGAAGUGUUUUCUGUUGAAGUUUUGGUAAAAGUUCUUUGGAAUAGGACAUCAUAGAGGGUGAGAAUCCCGUAUUUGACCAUUAUCUUCAGCUGUGUGAUACACUUUCAAAGAGUCGGAUUGUUUGGGGAUGCAGUCCAAAAUGGGUGGUAAAUUUCAUCUAAAGCUAAAUAUUGGCGAGAGACCGAUAGCGAACAAGUACCGUGAGGGAAAGAUGAAAAGAACUUUGAAAAGAGAGUUAAACAGUACGUGAAAUUGUCAAAAGGGAAGCGUUUGACACCAGUGUUGUCUUCUCGAAAAUCAAUUAAAAAGAGUUAGAUUUUGUUGUGUAUUGACCUUAACAGCUUGCAUUUCAAUUUUCUUGCUUUUCUUUAAUGCACUUUUCAGUUAACAAGUCAACAUCAAUUUCUUUUGCUGUAAAAAAGCUUAAGGAAGGUGGCUUGAGAUUCGUCUUAAGUGUUUAUAGCCUCUUGCCUAUGCAGUCGGAGAGAUUGAGGUCUGCAGCGUAGAUCCUUCGGGGCUAAAUGCAUUUGUGCUAAGUUAUAGCAUUUUAUAGACAACUUGUUGACUAUGAUUUGUCUUGUAGCUUACUCGCUUAUGUUAUUUUACCUACGCUUAGGAUGUUGAACGCGCACAGAGUCUC
RNAcentral lists this ribosomal RNA (962 nucleotides) under uncultured Neocallimastigales. RNAcentral describes it as "partial large subunit ribosomal RNA". The stretch from base 166 to 962 matches the Rfam family "Eukaryotic large subunit ribosomal RNA", at positions 1 to 614 of the family's 3401-position model. Lineage: Eukaryota; Fungi; Neocallimastigomycota; Neocallimastigomycetes; Neocallimastigales. The record is from RNAcentral.